Molecule: ribosomal RNA, 468 nt
Filed under: uncultured bacterium
Lineage: Bacteria
Description: partial 16S ribosomal RNA
Rfam family: Bacterial small subunit ribosomal RNA
Source: RNAcentral
GACGAACGCUGGCGGCGUGCUUAACACAUGCAAGUCGAACGGAAAGGCCCUGCUUUUGUGGGGUUCUCGAGUGGCGAACGGGUGAGUAACACGUGAGUAACCUGCCCUUGACUUUCGGAUAACUUCACGAAACUGGGGCUAAUACCGGAUAGGAGCUCCUGCUGCGUGGUGGGGGUUGGAAAGUUUCGGCUGUGGGGGAUGGACUCGCGGCUUAUCAGCUUGUUGGUGGGGUAGUGGCUUACCAAGGCUUUGACGGGUAGCCGGCCUGGGAGGGUGACCGGCGACCAUGGGACUGCGGUACGGAGCAGACUGCAAUGGGACGCAGUAGUGGGAAAUAUUGCGCAAUGAGGGGGAGUGUGAUGCGGAGGCGCCGCGUGCGGAAUGCCGGCUUUCGGGUUGUAAACAGCUGUCGCAUGAGACGAAGCGGGAGUGACGGUACUGGAUAAAGAAGCACCGGCUAACUACGUG